This is an RNA transcript of Oncorhynchus nerka (sockeye salmon), 3106 nucleotides long. It is a transcript of the gene named serine/threonine-protein phosphatase 6 regulatory ankyrin repeat subunit A-like, with no coding region annotated. The transcript is spliced from 8 exons. The record is from RefSeq and is a predicted model, not a curated record. NCBI's taxonomy places the organism in Eukaryota, Metazoa, Chordata, Actinopteri, Salmoniformes, Salmonidae.
UUUUGUGUGAACUCAACUUCUGUCAACACUUUCUCCUCAGUUUCUUGUUACCCUGUUGGAAAGUCCCAGAAGCAAGAUCAAGUCUCUCUGCAGAGGAGACUUGGAGAGCUGUCAUCAAAUGACGUCUCCAUUGUGCAUGCCCUGGCCUUGCUCCGAUCCAUAGGGUCUGACGCAAAACAUGCCAGAGAAGUUAAGGCCUGAAACAUACUUUUAGAACUGCAUGGGGUGCAUGUUGGUCAACAUAAAUGGCAAUUUGGCCUAGACCGUGUAGAACAGACAGGUAUUCUACAGCAACACGCCUCUCCAAACCAUGGUAGCACUCCUGCAAAUGAUGACCUGUAAUCUGAGGCGCAUGUCGUCUGACAAUGAGUACUCUACUGAUGCUGCAACUGGGCCGUCUGAUGACGUUGGUGCUGAAGCUACAUGUUAGUACAAUUGUAAACCUACAUCUUAUCAACAUAAUUAUCAUGGUUUGGGCCUGCUUUUCUUCAGCAGGGACAGGGAAGAUGGUUAAAAUUGAUGGGAAGAUGGAUGGAGCCAAAUACAGGACCAUUCUGGAAGAAAACCUGAUGGAGUCUGCAAAAGACCUGAGACUGGGACGGAGAUUUGUCUUCCAACAAGACAAUGAUCCAAAACAUAAAGCAAAAUCUACAAUGGAAUGGUUCAAAAAUAAACAUAUCCAGGUGUUAGAAUGGCCAAGUCAAAGUCCAGACCUGAUUCCAAUCGAGAAUUUGUGGAAAGAACUGAAAACUGCUGUUCACAAAUACUCUCCAUCCAACCUCACUGAGCUCGAGCUGUUUUGCAAGGAGGAAUGGGAAAAAAUGUCAGUCUCUCGAUGUGCAAAACUGAUAGAGACAUACCCUAAGCGACUUACAGCUGUAAUCGCAGCAAAAGGUGGCGCUACAAAUUAUUAACUUAAGGGGCCGAAUCAUUUUGCACGCCCAAUUUUUCAGUUUUUAAUUUGUUAAAAAGUUUGAAAUAUCCAAUAAAUGUCGUUCCACUUCAUGAUUGUGUCCCACUUGUUCUUGAUUCUUCACAAAAAAAUGCAGUUUUAUAUCUUUAUGUUUGAAGCCUGAAAUGUGGCAAAAGGUCGCAAAGUUCAAGGGGGCCGAAUACUUUCGCAAGGCACUGUAAAUCCUAAUAUAUCAUGUUUUCCUCAUUUGCUCUGUAGGAGGUUCGUCAUAUGAAGGACAUUCAAGUGGAUGUGACCCCUAACCUGCAAUAGGGGCAGGUGACAGACAUCCUGUAAUGGAUCUCCAGCUAGUGUCUGAGGACCAGGAGAAGGCUGUGUCUACAGCUGUGGGGCAGGACAAGCAUGAUUGCAAGUGAAACACCUUUAGAUGUGCUAAUGGAAACCUCAGGGACAGACAUCCUGAACGACUCUGAUGUCAGAGCUCCCAUCAGCCCUCUACACCUUGCUGAACCUCCGAUGUUGAUGCUGGGUGGGAGCAAAAAUGGGCUCCUGAUUGAAAGACUCUGGUCUACUUUAGAGGUCUAGCACUGUAUUUCUGUUCAGGCGUACCACUGGUCUACUCUAGGACAUUGAUUAUAUUAAGAGUGAAUAUCUGGACUGCCUUAAAAAGCCAUGUGGAGUGUGUUGACGUCCUCAUCAACCAGGGAGCCUCCAUCCUGGUUAAAGACUUCACUCUGAAGAGGACACCCAUCCACGCUGCAGAACCCCUCUGAUGCUGUCGGUGCUGAGCGGACACACAGACUGUGUGUACUCACUGCUCAACAAGGGAGCCAGCGUAGAAGCCAAAGACAAGUGGGGCAGAACAGCUCUACACAGAGGGGCGCUGACGGGUCACGAGGAGUGAAGCACAGCGCCAGCUUCCUGGUUCAGGAAGGUAAGGGGCGGAGCCAUGUCCACCUGGUGGCGGCGUCCGGACACAUUGGGGUGCUGGGGUGGCUCCUACACACCGCCCAGUCAGUGUGGACCCUCCCCGUCAUCACAAACAACCAGGGCUACACGCCACUACACUGGGCCUGCUACAACGCCAGCUUCGGGAGGGCACGAACCAAGCCAUCCGCACAGGAACCUUAAGAGUCCCUCAGACAGCGAGAGAUAAGAGGGAGGGAUAGGGGGAGGCACAACAGGCCCACACUCAUCCUCUCCUACCACCAGGUUCCCUUCCAGCAGAUACUGGACUUCAGAGGAACUGCUGCUGCUAUACCCCAUCUUUACCUUUACCCACAAAGGUCCUAAACGGUAGAAAGUGUCCGGCCAACAGACAGACGCACACCUUAUGACGGCAAUAACCUGUAGUCCAAGGGGAUAGUAGCACUUCACUGAGAGCAAAACAGACAGGGACCAAAAGAUGUGGAAGAAGCAUUUUCAAAACCUGUUUUGACUGUAGAAAUUGGGUGUUUGUGUUGAGAAAAGACAUAAGGAGUGAUGUUUCAUUUAAGUUUCAUGAGAGUGAUUGUCAUGUUUAUCCGCACACUAAGACAGUCAGAACACACCUAGCCUCUUGUCUGUAAUCCAUGUGGGAGGAGGGGAAAUCAUACAUUUUGUAUGAACAAAUAUUUUAAUAAAAUCAUUCAUGUCUUAAGCUCUGUGGGAAUAAAAAAAUGGUAGCAUUUGCUCUGAUGAGUAAUUGUAAAGAUUUAAUGCAUCCCAAAAGGAACCCUAUACUGAAUAGUAAGUACACUACUGUUGAACAGGGUCCAUAGGGUUCUGGUCAAAAGCAGUGCCAUUUAGGAUACUGGUAUGUGAGCAACAGGACUUUUUGAAGGGACAUAUUACAUUUGCGUUAUUAAACCUACCUGUCCUUUGGCCUCUAGAAAGUAUUUUAGAAAGUAAAUUAUUCAUUCAUGUAUUCUUUCUUGUGAUAUAUAACUUAUUCAAAAAAUGAAACCUCUCAAUCAUUGUAUGUGAUUGAAUGUUCAUAUCCCCGUUUUUGUCUCUUUUUGAAAAUCAUUUUAACUGGAAAUAUGUGCAAUAAAUUUGCUAUGUUCACCAAAUCAGCAACAAGAGAUUCACAGGUUCACAGGUUUUUCGUGUCAUUAUCAUUCUUUUAAACGGAUGAAACUAGCAUGUACAUAUGAAAUGGUGACUGAAUUCGAAACUCCCAUGAAUUCUUUCAGUAUCUGAAGUUUGCUGUAU